This 253-nucleotide ribosomal RNA is filed under the name uncultured bacterium. RNAcentral describes it as "partial 16S ribosomal RNA". It matches the Rfam family "Bacterial small subunit ribosomal RNA", at positions 524 to 776 of the family's 1533-position model. The record is from RNAcentral.
UACGAAGGGAGCUAGCGUUGUUCGGAAUUACUGGGCGUAAAGGGCGCGUAGGCGGUUUGAAAAGUUGGAUGUGAAAGCCCAGGGCUCAACCCUGGAAUUGCAUUCAAGACUGUUUUACUUGAAUUCGGUAGAGGUUGGUGGAAUUCCCAGUGUAGAGGUGAAAUUCGUAGAGAUUGGGAAGAACACCCGUGGCGAAGGCGGCCAACUGGACCGACAUUGACGCUGAGGCGCGAAAGCGUGGGGAUCAAACAGG